AUAUAAAAGACAGCAGAAGGAAGACCACACGAAAGACAACCUAAGAUAUAUCAGAAGUUUCAAAACAAAAGUGGACAGACACCUGGAAGAAAAGAUACUAGAACAUCAGCGGGGCAGACUAGCUAAGAACCAACCAAAGAAGAAGAGGAAGACGAAGGAAACAACUGUCUUCUCCGAGGAUGAUUUCUUAAAGUUUGAAGCAGAGUACAUAGGAGGAAAAAAAUAAAUUAAUGACAACCAAAA
Long non-coding RNA from Branchiostoma floridae (Florida lancelet), 243 nucleotides. RefSeq lists it as uncharacterized. The transcript has 2 exons. Lineage: Eukaryota; Metazoa; Chordata; Leptocardii; Amphioxiformes; Branchiostomatidae. The record is from RefSeq and is a predicted model, not a curated record.